GUCUGUUUGAUGUUAUAAAUGGUCUAACCUGCCCACUGAUAUAAUUAAAGGGCCGCGGUAAUUUAACCGUGCAAAGGUAGCAUAAUAAUUAGUCUUUUAAUUGAAGGCUUGAAUGAAUGGUUGAACAAAUAAAUAAUUGUCUCUUUUUUAAAUUUUGAAUUUAACUUUUAAGUGAAAAGGCUUAAAUAAUUCAAAGGGACGAUAAGACCCUAUAAAUCUUUAUGUAAAUAUUUGUUUUUGUUAAUAAGUUGUUUAAUAAUUUAAAAAUAAAUAUUGCAUUGUGUUGGGGAGACAGAAGUAUAAAUAGUGUAACUGCUUGUGUUUAAAUACUUAUAAUAUUUGUUUAUUUUUAAAGAUCCUUUUGAAGAUUUAAAGAAUAAGUUACUUUAGGGAUAACAGCGUUAUUUUUUUUGAGAGUUCUUAUCGAAAAAAAAGUUUGCGACCUCGAUGUUGAAUUAAAAUUUCUUUAUAAUGUAGCCGUUAUAGAAGAAGGUCUGUUCGACCUUUAAUAUUUUAC
This 517-nucleotide ribosomal RNA is filed under the name Homolochunia valdiviae. RNAcentral's name for it is "partial large subunit ribosomal RNA". It matches the Rfam family "Bacterial large subunit ribosomal RNA", at positions 1830 to 2599 of the family's 2925-position model. Lineage: Eukaryota; Metazoa; Arthropoda; Malacostraca; Decapoda; Homolidae. The record is from RNAcentral.